UGGAGAUGGGCUUUGCAACACAACAGACCUGUGUGUGGGAUUUUGAUCUUAGGCAACUGAAAAGCAAGUAACGCUCCCUUUCUAUUACCUGAAGCUUCUGCUUAUGGAGUUUUGAAGUUCUCCAGGAUGGUUUUUCUAUUUCUCUGAGCACUGAAGUGGCUAAUGCCAUGGCAGAUGUCAUACCUAAUGCUGCAGAAGCAGAGCAUAAGCACUUUCAGACCAUGCUGAAGUCUAAAUUGAAUGUCUUAACACUGAAAAAGGAACCUCUCCCAGCGGUCAUCUUCCAUGAGCCGGAGGCCAUUGAGCUGUGCACGACCACACCGCUGAUGAAGACAAGGACUCACAGUGGCUGCAAGGUACAUGGUUUCACUGUGUUGCCCAGGCUGGUCUCAAACUCAUGGCCUCAAGCAAUCCUCAAACUUCAGCCUCUGAAAGUGCUGGGAUUAUAGGCGUGAACCACUGCGACUGGCCUGUAUUUU
Molecule: small RNA, 479 nt
Filed under: Pan troglodytes (chimpanzee)
Lineage: Eukaryota; Metazoa; Chordata; Mammalia; Primates; Hominidae
Description: processed transcript
Source: RNAcentral